CUGUAGGCUCUGGCUCCUGCCUGCUCUCAGCCUUGCUCCAGGCCUCAUACGCAGACAUGGAAAGAAUGUGCAAACCCGUCACAGACAGUGGACCUGCCAAGAAUUAAUUUUUUUCUCAAUGUUAUAAUGAAACAACAUUGAAUGAAAUGAUGUUAUUCAAGGGCCUGCUGUACAUAUCACAAUGAGCAAGUACUUUGUUCAUUAGAUUCUCACUUCUGAAUUUGGAGAUCCUCAUUCAUAGCUCUUUUUAUCUGCUCUUACAAGAGGCUUGUGAAUGAAUUGGGGUGGAUAAUUGGGAUGUAGCCCCUCUUAAGACUGUCACCCCAAUGACAGCAUCACUCCCUCACAAAGCUAACCAUAUUUAGAAACAGCUUAUUUAUAUUGCCAUAUCUAAAACCCUUUUUGGGGGCUCAUUUCCAGAUCUUGUCUUAGUAACCUUAGAAG
This 444-nucleotide long non-coding RNA is filed under the name Pan troglodytes (chimpanzee). Its description in RNAcentral is "long non-coding RNA NONPTRT012523". Lineage: Eukaryota; Metazoa; Chordata; Mammalia; Primates; Hominidae. The record is from RNAcentral.